ACCCCUAAGGCGAGGCCGAAAGGCGUAGUCGAUGGGAAACAGGUUAAUAUUCCUGUACUUGGUGUUACUGCGAAGGGGGGACGGAGAAGGCUAUGUUGGCCGGGCGACGGUUGUCCCGGUUUAAGCGUGUAGGCUGGUUUUCCAGGCAAAUCCGGAAAAUCAAGGCUGAGGCGUGAUGACGAGGCACUGCGGUGCUGAAGCAACAAAUGCCCUGCUUCCAGGAAAAGCCUCUAAGCAUCAGGUAACAUCAAAUCGUACCCCAAACCGACACAGGUGGUCAGGUAGAGAAUACCAAGGCGCUUGAGAGAACUCGGGUGAAGGAACUAGGCAAAAUGGUGCCGUAACUUCGGGAGAAGGCACGCUGAUAUGUAGGUGAAGCGACUUGCUCGUGGAGCUGAAAUCAGUCGAAGAUACCAGCUGGCUGCAACUGUUUAUUAAAAACACAGCACUGUGCAAACACGAAAGUGGACGUAUACGGUGUGACGCCUGCCCGGUGCCGGAAGGUUAAUUGAUGGGGUCAGCGCAAGCGAAGCUCUUGAUCGAAGCCCCGGUAAACGGCGGCCGUAACAAUAACGGUCCUAAGGUAGCGAAAUUCCUUGUCGGGUAAGUUCCGACCUGCACGAAUGGCGUAAUGAUGGCCAGGCUGUCUCCACCCGAGACUCAGUGAAAUUGAACUCGCUGUGAAGAUGCAGUGUACCCGCGGCAAGACGGAAAGACCCCGUGAACCUUUACUAUAGCUUGACACUGAACAUUGAGCCUUGAUGUGUAGGAUAGGUGGGAGGCUUUGAAGUGUGGACGCCAGUCUGCAUGGAGCCGACCUUGAAAUACCACCCUUUAAUGUUUGAUGUUCUAACGUGGACCCGUGAUCCGGGUUGCGGACAGUGUCUGGUGGGUAGUUUGACUGGGGCGGUCUCCUCCUAAAGAGUAACGGAGGAGCACGAAGGUUGGCUAAUCCUGGUCGGACAUCAGGAGGUUAGUGCAAUGGCAUAAGCCAGCUUGACUGCGAGCGUGACGGCGCGAGCAGGUGCGAAAGCAGGUCAUAGUGAUCCGGUGGUUCUGAAUGGAAGGGCCAUCGCUCAACGGAUAAAAGGUACUCCGGGGAUAACAGGCUGAUACCGCCCAAGAGUUCAUAUCGACGGCGGUGUUUGGCACCUCGAUGUCGGCUCAUCACAUCCUGGAGCUGAAGUAGGUCCCAAGGGUAUGGCUGUUCGCCAUUUAAAGUGGUACGCGAGCUGGGUUUAGAACGUCGUGAGACAGUUCGGUCCCUAUCUGCCGUGGGCGCUGGAGAACUGAGGGGGGCUGCUCCUAGUACGAGAGGACCGGAGUGGACGCAUCACUGGUGUUCGGGUUGUCAUGCCAAUGGCACUGCCCGGUAGCUAAAUGCGGAAGAGAUAAGUGCUGAAAGCAUCUAAGCACGAAACUUGCCCCGAGAUGAGUUCUCCCUGACUCCUUGAGAGUCCUGAAGGAACGUUGAAGACGACGACGUUGAUAGGCCGGGUGUGUAAGCGCAGCGAUGCGUUGAGCUAACCGGUACUAAUGAACCGUGAGGCUUAACCC
This 1557-nucleotide ribosomal RNA is filed under the name metagenome. RNAcentral describes it as "bacterial LSU rRNA". It matches the Rfam family "Bacterial large subunit ribosomal RNA", at positions 1387 to 2925 of the family's 2925-position model. The record is from RNAcentral.